GAAGCGCAACCCUUGUCCUUAGUUACCAGCACGUUAUGUGGGCACUCUAAGGAGACUGCCGGUGGACAAACCGGAGGAAGGUGGGGGAUGACGUCAAGUCAUCAUGGCCCUUACGGCCUGGGCUACACACGUGCUACAAUGGUCGGUCAAAGGGUUGCCAAGCCGCGAGGUGGAGCUAAUCCCAUAAAACCGAAUCGUAGUCCGGAUCGCAGUCUGCAACUCGACUGCGUGAAGUCGGAAUCGCUAGUAAUCGUGAAUCAGAAUGUCACGGUGAAUACGUUCCCGGGCCUU
This 291-nucleotide ribosomal RNA is filed under the name uncultured Pseudomonas sp. RNAcentral's name for it is "partial 16S ribosomal RNA". It matches the Rfam family "Bacterial small subunit ribosomal RNA", at positions 1093 to 1382 of the family's 1533-position model. Lineage: Bacteria; Pseudomonadati; Pseudomonadota; Gammaproteobacteria; Pseudomonadales; Pseudomonadaceae. The record is from RNAcentral.